UUAUACAGCGAAACUGCGAAUGGCUCAUUAUAUAAGUUAUCGUCUAUUUGAUAGUACCUUACUACUUGGAUAACCGUGGUAAUUCUAGAGCUAAUACAUGCUAAAAAUCCCGACUCCGGAAGGGAUGUAUUUAUUAGAUUAAAAACCAAUGCCCUCUGGGCUCCUUGGUGAUUCAUGAUAACUCUUCGAAUCGCACGGCCUUGCGCCGGCGAUGGCUCAUUCAAAUUUCUUCCCUAUCAACUUUCGAUGUUUGGGUAUUGGCCAAACAUGGUCGCAACGGGUAACGGAGGGUUAGGGCUCGACCCCGGAGAAGGAGCCUGAGAAACGGCUACUACAUCCAAGGAAGGCAGCAGGCGCGCAAAUUACCCAAUCCCGAUUCGGGGAGGUAGUGACAAUAAAUACUGAUACAGGGCUCUUUUGGGUCUUGUAAUUGGAAUGAGUACAAUUUAAAUCCCUUAACGAGGAACAAUUGGAGGGCAAGUCUGGUGCCAGCAGCCGCGGUAAUUCCAGCUCCAAUAGCGUAUAUUAAAGUUGUUGUGGUUAAAAAGCUCGUAGUUGAACCUUGGGCCUGGCUGGCCGGUCCGCCUCACCGCGUGCACUGGUCCGGCCGGGCCUUUCCCUCUGUGGAACCCCAUGCCCUUCACUGGGUGUGGCGGGGAAACAGGACUUUUACUUUGAAAAAAUUAGAGUGCUCCAGGCAGGCCUAUGCUCGAAUACAUUAGCAUGGAAUAAUGGAAUAGGACGCGCGGUUCUAUUUUGUUGGUUUCUAGGACCGCCGUAAUGAUUAAUAGGGACAGUCGGGGGCAUCAGUAUUCAAUUGUCAGAGGUGAAAUUCUUGGAUUUAUUGAAGACUAACUACUGCGAAAGCAUUUGCCAAGGAUGUUUUCAUUAAUCAGGAACGAAAGUUAGGGGAUCGAAGACGAUCAGAUACCGUCGUAGUCUUAACCAUAAACUAUGCCGACUAGGGAUCGGACGAUGUUAUUUUUUGACGCGUUCGGCACCUUACGAGAAAUCAAAGUGC
RNAcentral lists this ribosomal RNA (1021 nucleotides) under Akanthomyces tuberculatus. RNAcentral's name for it is "SSU rRNA". It matches the Rfam family "Eukaryotic small subunit ribosomal RNA", at positions 74 to 1106 of the family's 1831-position model. The record is from RNAcentral. Lineage: Eukaryota; Fungi; Ascomycota; Sordariomycetes; Hypocreales; Cordycipitaceae.